This 76-nucleotide transfer RNA is filed under the name Bacillota bacterium. Its description in RNAcentral is "tRNA-Lys". It matches the Rfam family "tRNA". Rfam says of the family: Transfer RNA (tRNA) molecules are approximately 80 nucleotides in length. The record is from RNAcentral. Lineage: Bacteria; Bacillati; Bacillota. RNAcentral also lists the same sequence under 6 other names.
GCUUCGUUAGCUCAGUAGGUAGAGCACCUGCCUUUUAAGCAGGGUGUCCGGGGUUCGAAUCCCCGACGAGGCACCA